RNAcentral lists this ribosomal RNA (1409 nucleotides) under uncultured bacterium. RNAcentral's name for it is "16S ribosomal RNA". It matches the Rfam family "Bacterial small subunit ribosomal RNA". The record is from RNAcentral.
ACACAUGCAAGUCGAGCGGUAACAGGUCCAGCUUGCUGGAUGCUGACGAGCGGCGGACGGGUGAGUAAUGCAUAGGAAUCUGCCCGGUAGUGGGGGAUAACCUGGGGAAACCCAGGCUAAUACCGCAUACGCCCUACGGGGGAAAGCAGGGGCUCUUCGGACCUUGCGCUAUCGGAUGAGCCUAUGUCGGAUUAGCUAGUUGGUAGGGUAAAGGCCUACCAAGGCGACGAUCCGUAGCUGGUCUGAGAGGAUGAUCAGCCACAUCGGGACUGAGACACGGCCCGAACUCCCACGGGAGGCAGCAGUGGGGAAUAUUGGACAAUGGGGGCAACCCUGAUCCAGCCAUGCCGCGUGUGUGAAGAAGGCCUUCGGGUUGUAAAGCACUUUCAGCGAGGAAGAAGGCCUGGUGGCCAAUACCCACCAGGAAGGACAUCACUCGCAGAAGAGGCACCGGCUAACUCCGUGCCAGCAGCCGCGGUAAUACGGAGGGUGCGAGCGUUAAUCGGAAUUACUGGGCGUAAAGCGCGCGUAGGUGGCUUGAUAAGCCGGUUGUGAAAGCCCUGGGCUCAACCUGGGAACGGCAUCCGGAACUGUCAGGCUAGAGUGCAGGAGAGGAAGGUAGAAUUCCCGGUGUAGCGGUGAAAUGCGUAGAGAUCGGGAGGAAUACCAGUGGCGAAGGCGGCCUUCUGGACUGACACUGACACUGAGGUGCGAAAGCGUGGGUAGCAAACAGGAUUAGAUACCCUGGUAGUCCACGCCGUAAACGAUGUCGACUAGCCGUUGGGUCCCUCGCGGACUUUGUGGCGCAGUUAACGCGAUAAGUCGACCGCCUGGGGAGUACGGCCGCAAGGUUAAAACUCAAAUGAAUUGACGGGGCCCGCACAAGCGGUGGAGCAUGUGGUUUAAUUCGAUGCAACGCGAAGAACCUUACCUACCCUUGACAUCCUGCGAACUUGGUAGAGAUACCUUGGUGCCUUCGGGAGCGCAGAGACAGGUGCUGCAUGGCUGUCGUCAGCUCGUGUUGUGAAAUGUUGGGUUAAGUCCCGUAACGAGCGCAACCCUUGUCCUUAUUUGCCAGCGGGUAAUGCCGGGAACUCUAAGGAGACUGCCGGUGACAAACCGGAGGAAGGUGGGGACGACGUCAAGUCAUCAUGGCCCUUACGGGUAGGGCUACACACGUGCUACAAUGGUCAGUACAAAGGGUUGCCAACUCGCGAGAGUGCGCUAAUCCCAUAAAGCUGAUCUCAGUCCGGAUCGGAGUCUGCAACUCGACUCCGUGAAGUCGGAAUCGCUAGUAAUCGUGAAUCAGAAUGUCACGGUGAAUACGUUCCCGGGCCUUGUACACACCGCCCGUCACACCAUGGGAGUGGACUGCACCAGAAGUGGUUAGCCUAACCUUCGGGAGGGCG